This 440-nucleotide ribosomal RNA is filed under the name uncultured bacterium. RNAcentral's name for it is "partial 16S ribosomal RNA". It matches the Rfam family "Bacterial small subunit ribosomal RNA", at positions 338 to 795 of the family's 1533-position model. The record is from RNAcentral.
CCUACGGGUGGCAGCAGUGGGGAAUAUUGCACAAUGGGGGAAACCCUGAUGCAGCGACGCCGCGUGAGUGAAGAAGUAGUUCGUUAUGUAAAGCUCUAUCAGCAGGGAAGAAACAGACGGUACCUGAGUAAGAAGCCGCGGCUAACGACGUGACAGAAGCCGCCGUUAGACGGAGGGGGCCAGCGUUAUCCUGAUUUACUGGGUGUAAAGGGAGCGUAGGCGGCGAAGUAAGUCUGAAGUGAAAGCCCUCGGCGUAACCGCGGAAGUGCUGUGGAAACUUGCUUGCUUGAGUACCGGAGAGGUAAGCGGAAUGCGUAGUGUAGCGGUGAAAUGCUUAGAUAUUAGGAAGAACACCGAUGGCGAAGGCAGCUUACUGGAGGGUAACUGACGUUGAGGCUCGAAAGCGUGGGGAGCAAACAGGAUUAGAUACCCGGGUAGUC